This 468-nucleotide ribosomal RNA is filed under the name uncultured bacterium. RNAcentral describes it as "partial 16S ribosomal RNA". It matches the Rfam family "Bacterial small subunit ribosomal RNA", at positions 28 to 507 of the family's 1533-position model. The record is from RNAcentral.
GAUGAACGCUGGCGGCGUGCUUAACACAUGCAAGUCGAACGGAAAGGCCCAAGCUUGCUUGGGUACUCGAGUGGCGAACGGGUGAGUAACACGUGGGUUAUCUGCCCUGCACUUCGGGAUAAGCCUGGGAAACUGGGUCUAAUACCGGAUAGGACGAUGGUUUGGAUGCCAUUGUGGAGAGUUUUUUCGUUGUGGGAUGAGCUCGCGGCCUAUCAGCUUGUUGGUGGGGUAAUGGCCUAACAAGGCGUCGACGGGUAGCCGGCCUGAGAGGGGGGACGGCGACAAUGGAAACGGGAUACGGGACACAGUCCAGCGGGAGGCAGCAGGGGGGAGUGGUGCACAAUGGGCGCAAGCCUGAAGCAGCGACGAGGAGUGGGGGAUGACGGCCUUCGGGUUGUAAGCUCCUAUCGCUAGGGACGAAGCGUUUUUGUGACGGUACCUGGAGAAGAAGCACCGGCUAACUACGUG